Molecule: transfer RNA, 110 nt
Filed under: Rhodospirillaceae bacterium
Lineage: Bacteria; Pseudomonadati; Pseudomonadota; Alphaproteobacteria; Rhodospirillales; Rhodospirillaceae
Also listed under: 1 other name
Description: tRNA-OTHER
Source: RNAcentral
GCGCGCGCAACUCAGGUGGAUAGAGCGCCCCGUUGUCGUGUGUGCGGAGAGAAUGCCCGUCUCGACUGUAUCGGCGGGGAGGUCGCGGGUUCAAGUCCCGCCGCCGUGCG